Molecule: long non-coding RNA, 294 nt
Filed under: Canis lupus familiaris (dog)
Lineage: Eukaryota; Metazoa; Chordata; Mammalia; Carnivora; Canidae
Description: lncRNA (ENSCAFG00000055215.1, ENSCAFG00805024915.1)
Source: RNAcentral
CUGAAGUGAGAAUUUUUCAGUUUUUUUUUUUCAGGGAGAAGGCAGUUUAGAGAGAAGCAGACCAUUUGUAAAUAGUAUUUCUGUCUACUUGAAAGCCUUUCAUAAGUGUCAAAUCAAGACCGAAGUCUUCUUCACUAGUAGAAAAAGACAGAAAUGGUGUAACACAGCAAGCCUUCAUCUAGAGGAGCAGCGUGAAUCAGGUGGUCACUGAGAGGUUGCUUCAAGAUCUGGGAUCAACACCAGGAGAGAAGAGGCUCUUGACCAUCUACAAAUAAAGCGGCUUUGCACAGGAAU